This 339-nucleotide unclassified non-coding RNA is filed under the name uncultured fungus. RNAcentral's name for it is "sequence contains ITS1". The stretch from base 1 to 103 matches the Rfam family "5.8S ribosomal RNA", at positions 50 to 154 of the family's 154-position model. The record is from RNAcentral. Lineage: Eukaryota; Fungi.
GAAGUGCGAUAAGCAAUGCGAAUUGCAGAACCGUGAGUCAUCAGAUUUUUGAACGCAACUGGCGCCGGUUGGUUCUCCAAUCGGCAUGCUUGUUUCAGUGUCUCUUUAUCUCAUCACCCAGAUCAUAAUGCGAGAGAUGCCCUUCUCUUGCUAAACAUGAAAGCACUCUGCGCUCUGCGAGCGGCUUCGACUUGUUCGAUUGUCGCACUCAAUGCAGCAGUCACAUUGCUCACAAUGUGAACUCAUUGAGAGCUGAGGCAGUGCAGCGUAAGCUGCCAGUGCUUAGUCACACAAACUUACUUGCAUCUGAAAUCAAGCAGGAUCACCCGCUGAACUUAA